CGUAGGGCGCAAGCGUUGUCCGGAUUUAUUGGGCGUAAAGAGCUCGUAGGCGGCUUGUCGCGUCUGCCGUGUAAACUCUCGGCUUAACUGGGAGCUUGCGGUGGAUACGGGUGGGCUGGAGGCAGGUAGGGGAGAAUGGAAUUCCCGGUGUAGCGGUGAAAUGCGCAGAUAUCGGGAGGAACACCGGUGGCGAAGGCGGUUCUCUGGGCCUUGCCUGACGCUGAGGAGCGAAAGCGUGGGGAGCGAACAGGAUUAGAUACCCUGGUAGUCCAUGCUGUAAACGUUGGGCGCUAGGUGUGGGGUCUUUCCACGGAUUCCGUGCCGUAGCUAACGCAUUAAGCGCCCCGCCUGGGGAGUACGGCCGCAAGGCUA
This 372-nucleotide ribosomal RNA is filed under the name uncultured organism. RNAcentral's name for it is "bacterial SSU rRNA". It matches the Rfam family "Bacterial small subunit ribosomal RNA", at positions 526 to 896 of the family's 1533-position model. The record is from RNAcentral.